AUUGAACGCUGGCGGCAUGCUUUACACACGCAAGUCGAACGGUAACAGGUUAAGCUGACGAGUGGCGAACGGGUGAGUAAUGCAUCGGAACGUGCCCGGUCGUGGGGGAUAACGCAGCGAAAGCUGCGCUAAUACCGCAUACGAUCUGAGGAUGAAAGCGGGGGACCGUAAGGCCUCGCGCGAUCGGAGCGGCCGAUGUCAGAUUAGGUAGUUGGUGGGGUGAAGGCUCACCAAGCCGACGAUCUGUAGCUGGUCUGAGAGGACGACCAGCCACACUGGGACUGAGACACGGCCCAGACUCCUACGGGAGGCAGCAGUGGGGAAUUUUGGACAAUGGGCGCAAGCCUGAUCCAGCAAUGCCGCGUGCAGGAAGAAGGCCUUCGGGUUGUAAACUGCUUUUGUACGGAGCGAAAAGGCUCUCUCUAAUACAGGGGGCUCAUGACGGUACCGUAAGAAUAAGCACCGGCUAACUACGUGCCAGCCGCCGCAGUAA
RNAcentral lists this ribosomal RNA (493 nucleotides) under uncultured bacterium. Its description in RNAcentral is "partial 16S ribosomal RNA". It matches the Rfam family "Bacterial small subunit ribosomal RNA", at positions 29 to 523 of the family's 1533-position model. The record is from RNAcentral.